GGAAAGGCAGCUUGACUGUUUCCCGGACACUGUCUGGAGGAGUCACACAAACUUAGACAUUUCUUCCUCUCGUGUCCACUUGCCAUGACUAUCUGAGGCAGAGAGAAGUCUUUGAGAUAGCUACCGGGACCCUACAUGGAUCUCUGUGAUGUCAUUCACUGAUCCUUCUAGGCCAGCCGACUCCUCUAAACAUCACCAUAUUCCUUCAAUUCCACUAGGUGUGCCCUGGUCAUUUAGGGAGAAUCUUCUGGGCUACAGCAAA
This is a non-coding RNA of Equus caballus (horse), 262 nucleotides long. NCBI's taxonomy places the organism in Eukaryota, Metazoa, Chordata, Mammalia, Perissodactyla, Equidae. The record is from Rfam.